This 301-nucleotide ribosomal RNA is filed under the name uncultured bacterium. Its description in RNAcentral is "partial 16S ribosomal RNA". It matches the Rfam family "Bacterial small subunit ribosomal RNA", at positions 509 to 808 of the family's 1533-position model. The record is from RNAcentral.
CAGUCGCCGCGGGAAUACGUAGGGUGCGAGCGUUGUCCGGAAUUACUGGGCGUAAAGGGCUCGUAGGUGGUUUGUCGCGUCGUCUGUGAAAUUCCGGGGCUUAACUCCGGGCGUGCAGGCGAUACGGGCAUAACUUGAGUACUGUAGGGGUAACUGGAAUUCCUGGUGUAGCGGUGAAAUGCGCAGAUAUCAGGAGGAACACCGAUGGCGAAGGCAGGUUACUGGGCAGUUACUGACGCUGAGUAGCGAAAGCAUGGGUAGCGAACAGGAUUAGAUACCCCAGUAGUCCCUGUCUCUUAUA